UUGAGCCAUAGCUGCUGCAGCUUCGGGUGAUUGUGAGGGGAAAAUUGGUGGCUCUCAAGGAUCUUAUAAAGCUCUCUGAAAUUUCCUCUGUGGAAUGCGACCACAGCUUUAGCUUUGAGAACACUUUCAUUUUUGUGGAGGUGCUCACACGCGGGUAAAGACCACAAAAAGCGCCCGAGCCGUUCAAUGUUUCCACCCUGUUGGAGGACCUCGCAGACGCAAGCAACUUGCUCUUGCGUAAAGCCAAAAGUUGGAAGCAUAGACAUGGUUGCAAGUUAAUAAACAGGCGGAAAGUGCGCGCUGCAGGGCGACGGCGCAGUCACAUGCGUCCAUCAAAGUCUCUGCUGCAAGCGGGAGGAACCUGGCAGUGACAGGCCGAAUCAAGCUGGCAGCAGAGAGAGGCCACCUUGGGCAUAAGAGGUGAGGCCUACUCUUAACAUCACACCUCCAGCUAACCCCACCCCCAAUCUCCAGCUUCAGCCAGACAUUCUCAAAUUGAAUUAAGGUCCUGUUCUGUGCUGCAACCCCACGGACCCCUUCGAGAGCCCUCCUGAACCCCCUUGGCCCGGUCCUGUUCCCCUCAUCCAGCCGCCUCGGACUAAUUAAAACCGAUGUGGCCUUGUCUUCGCUGGAUUACCCCUAACGAGGAUUCACUGACUCCACCAGCAUGUGCCUCUUGAUGAGAGAAAGAGAGAGAGAGACAGAGACAGGGAUAGACAGAAAAAGAAAUGGGAGGAUUUGUCCAGGCAACCUUAGCCUUGAAACCCAACACUUAAUUCACUACAGAUGAUACAGAAAAGGUGGAAGAGAGAGAGAGAGAAAGAGACAAAUAUACUUAUGUUGAUAGUUUAAAUCACUAGUGUGUGUAGUGUUUUAAAAACUGUUAGUGAAACAAUUGAAACGUGGCCUUAUUGUGAAAAGAGUCAUAAAAUGGACCUCUGGUCAGCCCUCUAUGAAUCCAUACAGAGAGAUGAAUGCCAAUUCUCUUUCUUUCUUUGUGUGUGUGUGUGCGUGCGUGCCAGGGGCAGAGAAAAAAUACAUUCUCUGUCUUUGAUAAUGCAUUAAUAAUAAAAUGCAAUGUUA
Long non-coding RNA from Oncorhynchus nerka (sockeye salmon), 1083 nucleotides. RefSeq lists it as uncharacterized. The transcript has 4 exons. The record is from RefSeq and is a predicted model, not a curated record. Lineage: Eukaryota; Metazoa; Chordata; Actinopteri; Salmoniformes; Salmonidae.